This 561-nucleotide ribosomal RNA is filed under the name uncultured bacterium. RNAcentral's name for it is "bacterial SSU rRNA". It matches the Rfam family "Bacterial small subunit ribosomal RNA", at positions 338 to 916 of the family's 1533-position model. The record is from RNAcentral.
CCUACGGGAGGCAGCAGUGGGGAAUCUUGCGCAAUGGGGGCAACCCUGACGCAGCCAUGCCGCGUGAAUGAUGAAGGCCUUAGGGUUGUAAAGUUCUUUUGCCCGUGACGAUGAUGACGGUAACGGGAGAAUAAGCUCCGGCUAACUUCGUGCCAGCAGCCGCGGUAAUACGAAGGUGGCUAGCGUUGUUCGGAAUUACUGGGCGUAAAGCGCGCGCAGGCGGUUCGAUAAGUUAGGGGUGAAAUCCCUGGGCUCAACCCAGGAAUGGCCUUUAAGACUGUCGAGCUAGAGGACGAGAGAGGUGAGUGGAAUUCCCAGUGUAGAGGUGAAAUUCGUAGAUAUUGGGAAGAACACCGGUGGCGAAGGCGGCUCACUGGCUCGUUUCUGACGCUGAGGCGCGAAAGCGUGGGGAGCAAACAGGAUUAGAUACCCUGGUAGUCCACGCCCUAAACGAUGAGUGCCAGGUGUCGGGAAGCUUAGCUUCUCGGCGCCGCAGCUAACGCCUUAAGCACUCCGCCUGGGGAGUACGGCCGCGAAGGUAAACUACAAAGGAAUUGACGG